This 483-nucleotide ribosomal RNA is filed under the name uncultured bacterium. RNAcentral's name for it is "partial 16S ribosomal RNA". It matches the Rfam family "Bacterial small subunit ribosomal RNA", at positions 30 to 507 of the family's 1533-position model. The record is from RNAcentral.
AUUGAACGCUGGCGGCAGGCCUAACACAUGCGAGUCGAGCGGAUGAAGGGAGCUUGCUCCUGGAUUCAGCGGCGGACGGGUGAGUAAUGCCUAGGAAUCUGCCUGGUAGUGGGGGAUAACGUCCGGAAACGGGCGCUAAUACCGCAUACGUCCUGAGGGAGAAAGUGGGGGAUCUUCGGACCUCACGCUAUCAGAUGAGCCUAGGUCGGAUUAGCUAGUUGGUGGGUAAAGGCCUACCAAGGCGACGAUCCGUAACUGGUCUGAGAGGAUGAUCAGUCACACUGGAACUGAGACACGGUCCAGACUCCUACGGGAGGCAGCAGUGGGGAAUAUUGGACAAUGGGCGAAAGCCUGAUCCAGCCAUGCCGCGUGUGUGAAGAAGGUCUUCGGAUUGUAAAGCACUUUAAGUUGGGAGGAAGGGCAGUAAGUUAAUACCUUGCUGUUUUGACGUUACCAACAGAAUAAGCACCGGCUAACUUCGUG